This 200-nucleotide ribosomal RNA is filed under the name uncultured eukaryote. RNAcentral describes it as "partial 18S ribosomal RNA". It matches the Rfam family "Eukaryotic small subunit ribosomal RNA", at positions 588 to 798 of the family's 1831-position model. The record is from RNAcentral.
GCUCCAAUAGCGUAUAUUAAAGUUGUUGCAGUUAAAAAGCUCGUAGUUGAAUUGGGACCUAGUUUGGGACUACCUAACGGUUUGCUCUCAUAUCAGGGUCCUUCCUUCUGGAAGCCGAUAUGAGCUUAAUUGCUUGUUUGGGAAAUUCCAGGACAUUUACUUUGAAAAAAUUAGAGUGUUCAAAGCAGGCUUACGCUUGA